UGGGGAAUUUUGGACAAUGGGCGAAAGCCUGAUCCAGCAAUGCCGCGUGUGUGAAGAAGGCCUUCGGGUUGUAAAGCACUUUUGUCCGGAAAGAAAUCCUUGGCUCUAAUACAGUCGGGGGAUGACGGUACCGGAAGAAUAAGCACCGGCUAACUACGUGCCAGCAGCCGCGGUAAUACGUAGGGUGCAAGCGUUAAUCGGAAUUACUGGGCGUAAAGCGUGCGCAGGCGGUUUGCUAAGACCGAUGUGAAGUCCCCGGGCUCAACCUGGGAACUGCAUUGGUGACUGGCAGGCUAGAGUAGGGCAGAGGGGGGUAGAAUUCCACGUGUAGCAGUGAAAUGCGUAGAGAUGUGGAGGAAUACCGAUGGCGAAGGCAGCCCCCUGGGCCAAUACUGACGCUCAUGCACGAAAGCGUGGGGAGCAAACAGGAUUAGAUACCCUGGUAGUCCACGCCCUAAACGAUGUCAACUAGUUGUUGGGGAUUCAUUUCCUUAGUAACGUAGCUAACGCGUGAAGUUGACCGCCUGGGGAGUACGGUCGCAAGAUUAAAACUCAAAGGAAUUGACGGGGUCAUAGCUGUUUCCU
RNAcentral lists this ribosomal RNA (585 nucleotides) under uncultured bacterium. RNAcentral's name for it is "partial 16S ribosomal RNA". It matches the Rfam family "Bacterial small subunit ribosomal RNA", at positions 355 to 1375 of the family's 1533-position model. The record is from RNAcentral.